GCUCUCCCUUUCUCUGCUUCUCUCCCCUCAGUCUCUUCUUCUCUGCAAAACACGCACAGACCACACACGCACACACCACACACGCAGUCUCUCCUUCUCUCCCUCAGUCUCUCCGUCUCGUCGUCCCAUCCUUCUCCCUCAGCCUCGAUCUCGAUCCUUCUCUCCCUCAGUCUCUCCGUCCGUCUAUCCUUCUCCCUCAGCCUCGAUCUCGAUCCUUCUCCCUCAGUCUCUCCGUCCAUCCUUCUCCCCUCAGUCUCUCCAUCCUUCUUCUUCUCCCUCAGUCGUCUCUGGUGGUGCGCCGCUGAGCAAGGAGUUGGCCCAGUCAUCGAUAUUUCAGGUGAGAUUCCAUUGAAAACCCUAAGCCCUAAAACCGAUAUCACAUAUGUUGAAUCGUUGAUGCAUGCGUGAAAUUUUGGAGUAUAUAUUGUGAAAAUUUAAGUUAAAAAUUCGUGUUUUUGCAAGGUUUUUGGGACGAAAUGGGCUCGGGAACAGGCACACCAUCUCCGGCGUUCUUCUCCGGCGUCCGAUAUCGGAAUCCGAUUGCACCGUUCAACGAAAUAUCGCGAUAUUUCCAAAAUAUCGCGAUAUUAUCGAUAAUAUCGCGAUAUUUGGACGAAAACUACACGGAAACCAGUUUAAAUAUCCAUUACCCGAAAAAUCGAUAUUAUCGGCGAUAUUUCGCCGAUAAUAUCGAUAUUUAAAUCCAUGUUGUUACUUGAUGUAGAAGAAAAUGAGCACGAAGUUCAAUGAUGAAAAUGGCACCUCGGUCAGGGAAUCAAAUAUGUCAUCUUCCUCACAAAGCAGGAUUACAAAACUUAUUUUGUAGCUGUUUAUUUUUUAUUUUAUUUAUAUGAAAAUGAAAUACAAAGAAAGCCAGAUGUGCAAGUAUAUGUAAAGUGUAAUUAGUAUGUAAUAUUGUGUAUUUGUGAUACUUGUACAAUUUCCUGGUGCCUAGUUCAACUUCAGACCAACCAGUUUGAAAUGUAGAAAUCAAAAGAGCUCGAGAAUACAUAAUGCCCGUACAAUUGUGGUUUGCCCACGUAUAGGCUGGAAUGCCUGGAUCCGAUCCGUUGGAUUUGUGAUGGGCCGCCUCGGUUGUAUUAUUUUUGGGCCGGGCCUCGUGCGACAGAUUGAGGAGGGAAAAUAACUAUAAUCAGCAUGUGACAUGCACGUGUAUCCCAAAAAAAAGCUGUACUACAGUUGCAGGUGGAUGAUAGAUUUUUCAGUGUAACCAAGAGAUGAUACAUCAUGUAUCAUGUGUUCCUGUAUAAAUGAUAAGUUAUGUGUGUUAAAUGAUUAAUAACUUAAAAAUUAAAAAAUUUCAUCACUUGUAUAAAAACACGUGGUGUACCAUUCGUAUUCUCGUCGUAACUAAAAAUAUCUUCAGGGGGAGGAGAAGGCGGUGGUGGAAUUUUGCAUUGGGGAUUGCGUUCUGAAGAAUUUGAGAGAGGAAGAGUAGCCGAAGACAGAACCAAAUCAAAAUUUAUAAGGGUUAGGGGGGAAUAUGUCGGAUCCGCUCGAGAGACGAAAGGAGGCAGAUUGACCUUCAAAGGAGGCACCAGGCAGUGCUGGGGCGGUGGGGCCUCAGGAGUUCAUGUUAAUGUGGUUUCCCAGCUGCAUGCGGAGAUCUUGGCGGCAAGGCAUGCUGCGAAAAUUUUGGUGCAGAUCGUCAAUGGAGGACAAGACGUCGUGUUCGAAGGUGAUUCGAGCAUAACUAUAGCUGCUCUACAAAGGAAGGAAGAUGGUUUGUCCACCUUUGGGAGAUACUAGGAGCUUUCUCCCGGUAAUUGCGCAUAUUGAAAUGCGCCACAUUCGACGCGAAGCCAAUCAAGCAGCGCAUCGGCUUGCUCGUGCACGAAUUGGAAGACAUUGCGAUGUGUUAUGGUUUGAAGACCCUCCGGACUUGAUCUAGGACAUCCUAGUAGAAGAAAGACCCAGUUAAUUUUACUUCGAUCGUAAUAUUUGAGAUAGUUUACUAUACAUUGGUUGUGCCAUAUACUAUUACCGGAUUGAAAUUUCUAACAAGAUUUUUAUCAAGACCCAUCUAUGCACCUUAUCCUCAAUAUUGUAGGUUUUUAUUGCAACUUAAUGAAUAUCGUACUUUUUCUUAAAAAAAUUAUCUCAUAUUUUGAAAAAUAGACAUAUGUUGAGUUAUUAAUGAUAAGUGAUAAGGACAAUAUUGAGAUACACAAACAGAGUCAAAUUCUAUACUUGUCCACAUGAUGUCACCGACACUUAAUGCUAGUGACUUAGCAAAUGCAUAAUUCUCAAAAUGUUAGGUAUUUAUUAUUGUUUUUUUUUUUGGUCAAAUGAUAUAUUUGUUAAAUUAAAUGUUAGACUAGGGGGCUGAUCGGGUUCGAUCUCACACCGUAGUGUAAGGGCAACACUUCUCUCUAAUAUUGUAGUAGAUAACCACUUGCAAUGUUAGGUAUUUAUUUGAAAUGUUUUAAAAAGUUUAGAACAAUUUAAAAUUAUUCUUGUUAGGUAAUUAUUUGUACGCAACUAACACAAAUUUGUAGACCGGGCUUAACCAUGUUGUCUACAAUAAUGUAUACUCUCUCAUUUGAAUAAAAAAAUUGAAUCUGAUCUCCCCUUAGUAUAUAGCUUGUUUAGAACUGCUCUUAAAAUAACUGAAAUCACUUGUAGAAAAAAUAUUUUUGGGUUUCAAAAGCACUUAAAGUGCUUCCUGCAUUCUUGCAUGAAGCAAUGAAGUGAUUUUCUAGAAUUCAUUUGUCAUUUUACUAUGGAUUGAUUCCAAAAGCAUUUUUAUCAAAAACGUUGUUAACCAUUUUAAACGCUUUUAACCAUUUCAAAUGAGUCCAAUAUCACCGGUUUUGAAAAACAAAAAUAAAAAUAAAAAAUUAACACAAACCCCCCAAAUAUGAUCUAUUAAAGAAAGAAAUCAACUAUAGAUUGCCGCAUCAUGUAUUCUACAAAAUAUGUUCUAAAAAUAUGAUAGCUUUAGCAUUCUCUUUUGGUAAAUAGAUUAUGAAACGAGUGUUGAAGUUUAUUAAGUCAAUGAUCGAUCAAUCAAUCAUUAGAGUUUGGCCUAAGAAUAAUACAAUUGAACAAUAAUUAUUUAGGGAAAUAAAUUAUGCUUGAUUUAUGUGAUUAGCAAUGAAUGAUCCCUUUCGUAAUCAAUACAGGAAAUUAAUCCCAAAAUAAAAUUAAAAAAUCAAUGUAGGAAUCGAAGCCUCGAGGUAAGACAAGUAUAAUUAUAAUCAUACUUGAGAGAUAUUGAUAUAUAGUUGAGAGAGUGUUUUGGAGCAAUAUUGACAUAUAUUAUAUAAUAUAAUUGAGAGAAUAUAAUAAUAAUUAUACACUCAUCAUCAAGGACGGAGUUAGAAAUUUUUUUUUAUUGGGGGCGUCUUAAAACAACCAAGUAAAAUAAUGGGUUUUAGGUUAUUGAAGACCAAAUACAGUAAAAAAUCUCUAAAUUAGAAAGUUAAAUUCUAACUUGUAAUGCCACAAACAAAUGAAUGAAGUAAAUUCAUAUAAAAUACUUUGGAGUAAAAAUUUUGUAUUAAAUUAUGAUACUUCAUCAGUUGAAUCCAAUGUAUUUAUCAAAACCCCUAGUUCAAUUGAGUUUGAUUUAGGUUAGAAAACGUGGAAUAUUUGGAACCAAAAUCAAAAUUUUAAUUGUUGUUUUAAUUGUCAUGACAUUUUUGCUUUCCUCACCCAAAAAUCUGAAUGGGGGCGGAUGCCCUCCCUGGGCCUUAUGUAGCUCCGUCCAUGCUCAUCAUCAUCGAAAAUAUCCAAAAUAGGAGAAUAAGAUAUAAACUUGGUUUCCUUGAUGAAGUUGCAUGUUCAUAGGCGAACCUCAAAUAAAGAAAUGAGCUGUACUACUAACAUGAAAUAAUUCCGAAAAAAUGCGAAUAUAAAAUUAGCAUGAGAUAGUAAAAUAAGAAUGUUUACGUAAUUUUUUUGGUGUGUUAAAUAUUCUAUACUUGAAUAUGCAUCAUGGAGAAGAGAUGACAAAAUUAAUAAACAUAUAUAGCGUUGAAACGUCGGUUGCAGCCGGAUUGAAUAAAAUCAAGCAGAGAAAUAAGAAUACUCUUAAUUUUGAAAAGUCUUCUCUCCGAUUGAAUAUUGAUAAUAAUUCCCAACAUCAUCUUCAUCUCUCUUGUGAGUCAUGUUAGACUAGUUCCCAUCACCAGAAUAUACAUGUUCAGACGUUCUGGCUUGUGUCGGCAUCUUUUGACUUGGCAACUAACAAUAAAAAAUUAUAUCAAUUCCCCCAAUUAGGUUUAACAAGUUCAUUUUGAAAUUAUUUAAUGGCUUUGAUUGAUUAAUUUUGGGAAAGAAUAUUAUCAUUAAUUUUUUUUGAAAACGGUGCAAUAUUCAUUGAUAAGGUAAUAGACUACAUCCACUCAUUGAGGAUAUGAUGCAUACAAUGAAUCUCAAUAAAAAUCUGGCUAGAGAUUUCAAUCCAGUCAAUAAAACAAAAGAGUAUCCAUCACCAUAAAAGGAAUUAAUUAUACAUGACAUGAUAUAUUAAUUCCCUAGAAUUUGGAAGAGGAGAGGGCACACCAUUCUUGCCGUGGCCUGCCGACUGGCCUCACUAUCUGUCCGCUACGUGCAAUAAUUUAGUGGUUAAAAUUAAAAUUAUAUAUACAUAUUCGAUAACAAUUAGAAUUAUAUGUAAAUUUGUUCCAAGGUUGAACAUUUUAAUCUUAGUUUACUAUCCUAAAGUUUUGUGGUUUUUAACAUUUGUUACAUGAAGUUUUUUUUCAUCCAAAAGUCAUACCUCAAGUCUUAAUUUUGGGACAGUUUUGUAUAUCUGUUAAGUUUUCUAUUAGAACUUAUGUUAACUGAUGACGUGGUGCACACGUGGACAAUAACUGAGUGUCACGUGCUAAUAAUAAAUACAAAAAAAUACAAACAAACAAAAAAACCCAACCCGUCUUCUACCUCCCCCAACCCCUUCCCUUCCUUCAUCCUUUG
Molecule: long non-coding RNA, 4944 nt
Filed under: Malus domestica (apple)
Lineage: Eukaryota; Viridiplantae; Streptophyta; Magnoliopsida; Rosales; Rosaceae
Description: long non-coding RNA (MDOM_LNC006374)
Source: RNAcentral